CUGGGAUAACUUGACGAAAGUUAAGCUAAUACCGGAUAAGACCACGCUUCACAAGGAGUGCGGCAAAAGGAGUCUCAAACUCUGCUUGAAGAUGAGUUCGCGUACCAUUAGCUUGUUGGUGAGAUAACAGCUCACCAAGGCGACGAUGGUUAGCCGGCCUGAGAGGGUGAUCGGCCACACUGGAACUGAGACACGGUCCAGACUCCUACGGGAGGCAGCAGUGGGGAAUCUUGCGCAAUGGGCGAAAGCCUGACGCAGCAACGCCGCGUGAGCGAUGAAGGCCUUCGGGUCGUAAAGCUCUGUCAAGUGGGAAGAACAUAAUGACGGUACCACUAGAGGAAGCCCCGGCUAACUUCGUGCCAGCAGCCGCGGUAAUACGAAGGGGGCGAGCGUUGUUCGGAAUUAUUGGGCGUAAAGCGUAUGUAGGUGGUCUUUCAAGUCAGACGUGUAAGCCCUCGGCUCAACCGAGGAAUUGCGUUUGAAACUGAUUGACUUGAGUAUAGGAGAGGAAAGCGGAAUUCCCAGUGUAGCGGUGAAAUGCGUUGAUAUUGGGAAGAACACCGGUGGCGAAGGCGGCUUUCUGGCCUAUUACUGACGCUGAGGUACGAAAGUGUGGGGAGCAAACAGGAUUAGAUACCCUGGUAGUCCACACCGUAAACGAUGAAUGCCAGUCGUCGGGUAGUAUACCGUUCGGUGACACACCUAACGGAUUAAGCAUUCCGCCUGGGGAGUACGGUCGCAAGAUUAAAACUCAAAGGAAUUGACNG
This 767-nucleotide ribosomal RNA is filed under the name uncultured delta proteobacterium. Its description in RNAcentral is "partial 16S ribosomal RNA". It matches the Rfam family "Bacterial small subunit ribosomal RNA", at positions 138 to 916 of the family's 1533-position model. Lineage: Bacteria; Deltaproteobacteria. The record is from RNAcentral.